CUUGAGGCCGAAUGCUUUCGUUCAACUCCGGCUCCUCAAGGGGCGUUUCCUUUAGUUUUAGAAUCCUUGGAGGUAGGCGUUUUAAAAUGCAUCUUUUAUUAAUUUCCUUCCAAACACAAGGAAAAGCCCGCGGACGACCUGUGGGUCGUCUAAUUCACAAGACGCAGUUUUACGUGAAGGAACGAGACUAGUAACGUACUUUGACCUUUAACCUCUAGCCGGUGCAGUGGAGGGAAACGCCUCCGUCUCUAUAUAAGGACUUUUCCGGCCGGUCCCGGCCCUUUUUCUCCCUCAGCGCUGGCCGCGGGCUUCUAGCGCUCUUUUCCUCCGCUCCCGGUUACAGUCGACGCCAUGGGUUUCGGAGACCUGAAAACCCCCGCCGGCCUCCAGGUGCUCAACGAUUACCUGGCGGACAAGAGCUACAUUGAGGGGUGAGCCGGGAGCCCCGGGGGCCACGUGGCGCGGGCUCGGCGGGAGGGAAGCGGGUCGCCGGAAACUAGGGGAAGCCGAGUUAGGUCUCCCGAGUCUCGGAUGCCACUGGAGCAGGACCUCCCUGGAGGGGCUGCCAGCGCAAUAAUUGAAAUAAUGCUUGCUCUCCGUGUAACUACGUUCAGCCGGUUCUUCCGCGUCCUCUGACUAGUUAAUUUAAACCUGUGGCAAGCCCGAGGUAGCCUUUGAGUUCUCCCAAGUGGUAGAGAAUUCUUGGCUUGUACAGAUUGAAACAUAUUUUGUGCACUUCCGAUUAGAAGCAAUUUAGGUUAGCCCUGUAAUAGUUCCCACUAGUAGUUAGUUUGGCGGGUAUGGGCUGUGUCAUUUACCAGUUAGGUGUUUGUGUCUUUUCUUUUAAAGGUGCGUGUACUUGUUUUUGUGUUACCUGCAGGUACGUGCCAUCACAAGCCGAUGUGGCAGUAUUUGAAGCAAUCUCUGGUCCACCACCCGCUGACCUGUGUCAUGCUCUGCGUUGGUAUAAUCAUAUCAAAUCUUACGAAAAAGAAAAGGCCAGCUUGCCGGGAGUGAAGAAAUCUUUGGGCAAGUAUGGCCCUGUCAGUGUGGCAGAUACCACAGGAAGUGGAGCAGCAGAUGCUAAAGACGAUGAUGACAUUGAUCUCUUCGGAUCUGAUGAUGAGGAGGAAAGUGAAGACGCAAAGAGGCUACGAGAAGAACGCCUUGCUCAGUAUGAGUCAAAGAAAGCUAAAAAGCCUGCAGUUGUUGCGAAGUCUUCCA
RNAcentral lists this long non-coding RNA (1224 nucleotides) under Rattus norvegicus (Norway rat). RNAcentral's name for it is "long non-coding RNA NONRATT029459". Lineage: Eukaryota; Metazoa; Chordata; Mammalia; Rodentia; Muridae. The record is from RNAcentral.